CAAAAAAUUAAAAUAAGAUUAAUUAUAAACGAUAAUUAAUUAGAAUACUAGUAUGUAUAAUUAUUUUCAAGUUUUAACAGCUAAAUUUAACAUAUUGUAAGACCAUAAUUGACUUCCGUUUUGAUAUCAAAAUGUUAAUUGAAAUUUAAAAUAUUCCCCUUCUUCCUUUAUCUUUCAAACUGCUCCUUAAAAGCUAAAUUAUUGUGUCUGAUCCGGUGUUUGUGAAAGAAACAACAUCUAAAUAAUGUUUUUAAAUUUCAGGUAUUUGUAGUUAACGAAAACGACCAAAAAGCUAAUUUUUUGACAACAGUUGAUACCUGGUAACCGCAUGUACCGUUGAGAGCGGCUAUUGCAUGCUUGUUACAACUAUGGCAAAACAAUGACAUAAACGAUAUAAAAGAUAAAUUUAAAUAUGAGUCUUUGAGUUCUCUUCCCCAAACGGAUAUCCUACAAUACAGAUAUCAUAAAGGAUUUGAAACCAGAUGACCCCCAUCCAGGAUACAAGCAGAGUUUAUUGUUGUUGUGAUCACAUGACUACCACGUGAUCACAGAAUGAGAGGGCGCUGCAAGCAGUGCCCUGAUUGGCUGGCUAGAGAAAAACUGUGGGUUACAACAUACAGAACAGACGUAUAUCUUAGCAGUUCCUGUAUCAGGUAUCAUGGAUGGAAGUCUAGCUGUCUAAAAGUCUGAGAAGAAGGUGUUCCUGUAUUUACCAUAUCCAUAUGGUAAUCCUUAGACACAAACAGAACAGGUACACUAUGGAAGUGCAGAACAACUGGGACUCUGGCUGCCUCAUUACAGCAACCAUUAUGUAAACCAAUAUGUUAAGAAAAAAGAAAACAGGAGUCAAAAUAUUUGAAGUUCACAUUAAACAUGAUCAGCUAUGAUGAAUUUGAUUAUUUAUACAGAUCAGUGACAUUCACUUCAUUAGCUAUAUAUACUGCACAUGAAUACAGUUUGUCAACAAUCAUUAACUAUUUUAUGUUAUGUUUAUGUUAUGGUUAGAGUUUAUUUGUUUGAAUUUACCAAAAUAAUAUCUCUUAAUGUGACAGACACACCAUUUAGCAGCUUAGUGUUUGAGAUGAUAUUUUUUUCAACUGACCCAGCUUCUGUUCAAACCUAGUGAUUCACUUCAUUAAAUCAAUAACUACUGAAUGCUGAUUUACCUUAAUAAAUGUAUACCAGAUUUGAAAAGGACUGCCAUCCCAAUGGCCAAAAUAUAGUUUUGAACACUAAGGCUACAUAUAUCGGGUAUCUUUUUUAUUUAAUAAACUGC
Molecule: long non-coding RNA, 1276 nt
Organism: Mya arenaria
Lineage: Eukaryota; Metazoa; Mollusca; Bivalvia; Myida; Myidae
Exons: 5
Source: RefSeq, a predicted model, not a curated record